This 497-nucleotide ribosomal RNA is filed under the name uncultured bacterium. RNAcentral describes it as "partial 16S ribosomal RNA". It matches the Rfam family "Bacterial small subunit ribosomal RNA", at positions 28 to 507 of the family's 1533-position model. The record is from RNAcentral.
GAUGAACGCUGGCGGCGUGCCUAAUACAUGCAAGUCGAGCGAACGGACGAGAAGCUUGCUUCUCUGAUGUUAGCGGCGGACGGGUGAGUAACACGUGGAUAACCUACCUAUAAGACUGGGAUAACUUCGGGAAACCGUAGCUAAUACCGGAUAAUAUUUUGAACCGCAUGGUUCAAAAGUGAAAGACGGUCUUGCUGUCACUUAUAGAUGGAUCCGCGCUGCAUUAGCUAGUUGGUAAGGUGACGGCUUACCAAGGCAACGAUGCAUAGCCGACCUGAGAGGGUGAUCGGCCACACUGGAACUGAGACACGGUCCAGACUCCUACGGGAGGCAGCAGUAGGGAAUAUUCCGCAAUGGGCGAAAGCCUGACGGAGCAACGCCGCGUGAGUGAUGAAGGUCUUCGGAUCGUAAAACUCUAUUAUUAGGGAAGAACAUAUGUGUAAGUAACUGUGCACAUCUUGACGGUACCUAAUCAGAAAGCCACGGCUAACUACGUG